RNAcentral lists this non-coding RNA (29 nucleotides) under Homo sapiens (human). The record is from RNAcentral. Lineage: Eukaryota; Metazoa; Chordata; Mammalia; Primates; Hominidae.
UCUCUUGGUGAAGCGGGAAUCUGUAAGGA